This 446-nucleotide ribosomal RNA is filed under the name uncultured bacterium. RNAcentral describes it as "partial 16S ribosomal RNA". It matches the Rfam family "Bacterial small subunit ribosomal RNA", at positions 354 to 796 of the family's 1533-position model. The record is from RNAcentral.
GUAGGGAAUAUUGGACAAUGGGGGGAACCCUGAUCCAGCCAUGCCGCGUGGAGGAAGACUGCCCUCUGGGUUGUAAACUCCUUUUAUAUGGGAAGAACCGUCCUCAUUAAUGAGUGACCUGACGGUACCAUAGGAAUAAGCACCGGCUAACUCCGUGCCAGCAGCCGCGGUAAUACGGAGGGUGCAAGCGUUAUCCGGAUUCACUGGGUUUAAAGGGUGCGUAGGCGGAUAAAUAAGUCAGUGGUGAAAUCAACGGGCUCAACCUGUUAACUGCCAUUGAUAAUGUGUAUCUUGAAUAUGAGAGAGGUAGGCGGAAUGUUGCAUGUAGCGGUGAAAUGCUUAGAUAUGCUACGGAACACCGAUUGCGAAGGCAGCUUACUAUUUCGUAAUUGACGCUGAGGCACGAAAGCGUGGGUAGCGAACAGGAUUAGAUACCCCGGUAGUCC